CAUAAAGCUGACGCUUACAUUUUUUCCGGAAAGUAAUGAAAACACAAAAAGUUCAGGUCACUUUCAAUUAUAAUGAAGAAAAAAUACAAACCAGUGUAAAAUGUUCGGAUUUAAGCACGUUCAGAAACCGCUUUGGAAAACAUAACAUAUGAAUCGGCAGUGUUGGGGAGUACCUAGAUACUUGUACCUAGGUAUGUACCUAGAUACCAUUUUUUGGUAUAUUUGACCUUACCUAGGUAUACAAAUAGGUACUGAUUCUUCUAUACCUGGAGAAGCAGGUCAUCGCAAUAGAAAAUUCACAAAGAAAAUGUGACGCGGCCGCGCACAAUAAUAAAUAAUUCAUAAUAAAUAAUACAUAAUAAAUAAUACCUAAUACAUGAUACAUAAUAAAUAAGACAUAAUACAUAAUAGAUAAAACCAAAACAUAAUAAAUAAUUAUCAUAAACAAGUUCAAAUUCACAAAUGGCCACAACCCGGCCACACUAAGUCGGGCAAUUCGGACAUACGGGCACACUAAGCCAAGGGCUAUAUAAAGCGGGCGGCUGGCCUCAGAAUGAUCAGUCGGUGGUCGGAGUCGACCGAGGUGGAAGUCACCAGCGAGCGGGAAAGCAGCAAGAUCAGGACCGGGAUCAACAAGUGGUAACUAUUGGAGGGUAAGCUCAACCCCUACGUAUAUACCCCAGCUGACUUCAGGGUCCUGCUUACGUCUAUACGUUGACUUCAGGGUCCUACUUACGUAUCUACGCUGACUUCAGGGUCCUGCUUACGUCUAUACGUUGACUUCAGGGUCCUACUCAC
This is a long non-coding RNA of Drosophila teissieri, 798 nucleotides long. RefSeq lists it as uncharacterized. NCBI's taxonomy places the organism in Eukaryota, Metazoa, Arthropoda, Insecta, Diptera, Drosophilidae. The record is from RefSeq and is a predicted model, not a curated record. The transcript is spliced from 3 exons.